RNAcentral lists this ribosomal RNA (422 nucleotides) under uncultured bacterium. Its description in RNAcentral is "bacterial SSU rRNA". It matches the Rfam family "Bacterial small subunit ribosomal RNA", at positions 355 to 774 of the family's 1533-position model. The record is from RNAcentral.
UGAGGAAUAUUGGACAAUGGAGGCAACUCUGAUCCAGCCAUGCCGCGUGCAGGAAGACGGCCCUAUGGGUUGUAAACUGCUUUUAUACGGGAAGAAACCCAACUACGUGUAGUUGGCUGACGGUACCGUAAGAAUAAGCACCGGCUAACUCCGUGCCAGCAGCCGCGGUAAUACGGAGGGUGCAAGCGUUAUCCGGAAUCAUUGGGUUUAAAGGGUCCGUAGGCGGGCUAAUAAGUCAGGGGUGAAAUCCAACAGCUUAACUGUUGAACUGCCUUUGAUACUGUUAGUCUUGAAUUAUAUGGAAGUAGAUAGAAUGUGUAGUGUAGCGGUGAAAUGCUUAGAGAUUACACAGAAUACCGAUUGCGAAGGCAGUCUACUACGUAUAUAUUGACGCUAAUGGACGAAAGCGUGGGGAGCGAACA